RNAcentral lists this ribosomal RNA (497 nucleotides) under uncultured bacterium. RNAcentral's name for it is "partial 16S ribosomal RNA". It matches the Rfam family "Bacterial small subunit ribosomal RNA", at positions 28 to 507 of the family's 1533-position model. The record is from RNAcentral.
GAUGAACGCUGGCGGCGUGCCUAAUACAUGCAAGUCGAGCGAACAGAUAAGGAGCUUGCUCCUUUGACGUUAGCGGCGGACGGGUGAGUAACACGUGGGUAACCUUUCUAUAAGACUGGAAUAACUCCGGGAAACCGGGGCUAAUGCCGGAUAACAUGUUGAACCGCAUGGUUCUACAGUGAAAGGCGGCUUUGCUGUCACUUAUAGAUGGACCCGCGCCGUAUUAGCUAGUUGGUGAGGUAACGGCUCACCAAGGCAACGAUACGUAGCCGACCUGAGAGGGUGAUCGGCCACACUGGAACUGAGACACGGUCCAGACUCCUACGGGAGGCAGCAGUAGGGAAUCUUCCGCAAAGGGCGAAAGCCUGACGGAGCAACGCCGCGUGAGUGAUGAAGGUCUUCGGAUCGUAAAACUCUGUUAUUAGGGAAGAACAAAUGCGUAAGUAACUGUGCGCGUCUUGACGGUACCUAAUCAGAAAGCCACGGCUAACUACGUG